Molecule: ribosomal RNA, 399 nt
Filed under: uncultured bacterium
Lineage: Bacteria
Description: partial 16S ribosomal RNA
Rfam family: Bacterial small subunit ribosomal RNA
Source: RNAcentral
CCUACGGGCGACAGCAGUGGGGGAUAUUGCACAAUGGGGGGAACCCUGAUGCAGCGACGCCGCGUGGGUGAAGGAGGGUUGCGGCGCGGAAAGCCCUAUCGGCAGGGAAGAAGAUGACGGUACCUGACCAAGAAGCCCCGGCUAACGACGUGCCAGCAGCCGCGGUAAGACGGAGGGGGCAAGCGUUAUCCGGAUUUACUGGGUGUAAAGGGGGCGCAGCCGGCAAUGCAAGCCAGGAGUGAAAGCCCGGGGCCCAACCCCGGGACUGCUCUUGGAACUGCCUGGCUGGAGUACAGGAGGGGCAGGCGUCCUUCCUAUUGUAGCGGUGCACUUCGUAGCUAUUAGGAGGCCCACCGGUGGCGCAGGCGGCCUGCUGGACUGUGCCUGCCGUUGAGGCCC